CAGUCGCCGCGGUAAUACAGAGGGCGCGAGCGUUAAUCGGAUUUACUGGGCGUAAAGCGUGCGUAGGCGGCUUCUUAAGUCGGAUGUGAAAUCCCUGAGCUUAACUUAGGAAUUGCAUUCGAUACUGGGAAGCUAGAGUAUGGGAGAGGAUGGUAGAAUUCCAGGUGUAGCGGUGAAAUGCGUAGAGAUCUGGAGGAAUACCGAUGGCGAAGGCAGCCAUCUGGCCUAAUACUGACGCUGAGGUACGAAAGCAUGGGGAGCAAACAGGAUUAGAUACCCCCGUAGUCCCUGUCUCUUAUAC
This 301-nucleotide ribosomal RNA is filed under the name uncultured bacterium. Its description in RNAcentral is "partial 16S ribosomal RNA". It matches the Rfam family "Bacterial small subunit ribosomal RNA", at positions 509 to 807 of the family's 1533-position model. The record is from RNAcentral.